This 451-nucleotide ribosomal RNA is filed under the name Gastrotheca sp. RNAcentral describes it as "partial 12S ribosomal RNA". It matches the Rfam family "Bacterial small subunit ribosomal RNA", at positions 7 to 802 of the family's 1533-position model. Lineage: Eukaryota; Metazoa; Chordata; Amphibia; Anura; Hemiphractidae. The record is from RNAcentral.
CAAAGGUUCGGUCCCAGCCUUGAAAUCAGUUUUUACUUUAUAUACACAUGCAAGUUUCCGCACCCCUGUGAGAACGCCCUUAACUCCCCCUUAGGGACAAGGAGCUGGUAUCAGGCACAAUAAUUAGCCCAAAACACCUAGCCAUGCCACACCCACACGGGCCCCCAGCAGUGAUUAACAUUGAAUAUAAGCGACAGCUUGAUUCAGUCAAAGUAAAGAGAGCCGGCAAAUCUGGUGCCAGCCGCCGCGGUUACACCACGUGGCUCAAAUUGUAUUUUUUCGGCGUAAAGCGUGAUUAAAGUAAGCACUAAACUAGAGUUAAACUCAAAUUAAGUUGUAAUAAGCUUGUUAUUUAGGAAACCCAAAAACGAAAGUUACUCUAACCCCACCCACUUGAACUCACGACAGCUAGAACACAAACUGGGAUUAGACACCCCACUAUGCCUAGCCG